Molecule: non-coding RNA, 45 nt
Organism: Schistosoma curassoni
Lineage: Eukaryota; Metazoa; Platyhelminthes; Trematoda; Strigeidida; Schistosomatidae
Source: Rfam
AUCCAGCUGAUCAGUCUCAAACAGGACAAAACAUAUGUCCUGGAU